CACGCAAAUAACAGUGUGAGGGCUGGGGCCGUGCGGGGGGGGUGGGGCGGCGGAGGGGCCGCGCUGCAGAAGGCGUGACAGCGAUAGGGACUGGCUGUGCUGCCGACUCCGCACCGACCGGAGGAGGCGAUGAAGAAGGCUGGCUCCUUACUCAGCCUCAAGCUGCUGCUGUUGCUGCCCGGCUCUGCCUAGGAGCCCCUGAGGCCAAACCCCACUACCGAGUGGCAGACUGAUUUGGAGUAAAUCGGAUCAAAACUUUGCCUCCCGUCGGUGCUAUGCCCACUCUCGGAGACAGCUCCGUGUGACGUCCUGUGGGGCUGUGCUCUGGGAGCCGAGGGAGCUGGACGCCAAGACCGGAGGCAUUUCCCUCCUUGCUUGCCUGUGUUCUGGGGAAGUCAGAGGAGGGUGUGGACAGGUUGAAACACCUCCUGAAUACGUAACAUUUCUUUAUUGGGUUUCUCGAAAAGCCUUAUUCCAUGACGUCAGCCUGCAUACUGAGUCCACCUAAGAAAAUGAACCAACCUGCGGACUUCCUAUAGUGCCCAGAUUGUGUAUGCAUUGCCCCUCAGUGUGUUGAAACUUCUUUGCAGUUUGGCAAUGCAAGGACGCCAGCAUCCUCAUCCCGGGACAUAAUGAUACUCAGGAGGGGAGCUGUGUUCCCUUAGCCAGGUCACCCUGUGAUGAUUGAAACACGCUAAAUCCCUCCUGUGGGAAGAAUCAGCUCCAUUUCUAGUGUGGGCUAUGCUACUACAUUUAAGAAUGUGCUAAUGAUACUUUCAGAAAGCCUAUUUCUUAUUUCUCUUGCUGUGAGGUCAUUUUAUGACUGAAGUGAAUAUAAUUGAUCGUGGUGUUAUCUUACACACUAUGAAUGUCACUAAAAACACAGACGAUUUUGAGUCUAAACUAUACCAGAAGAUCUUUCAGAGGAUCUCCAAAUAGCCAGGGUUAGCCUCCUGUGGCAGAAGUUGCUCCCUUGUCAGUUGUUAUUGGCAUGCCUCCAGUCCCCACCAUGUGUCAUCUUCUAAUUCUGUGUUCACCCUAUUCCAGUAUUUCUUAAAUGGUUGUCUUAGGCCCACCUAGAUUCCUGAGUUUGCUCUCAGACCUACUGAAUCAUCAUCUCUGUAGGCUGGCCCUGGGCUUCUGCAUUUUUAGCAAAUAUGCCCAUGACAUGAAUAAGUAUUAAAAAGUCAAGUGUUUCAUUUGAAACCCCCUUUUCAUUCCUUUCUUUUGAAAAUUUAAGAACUGUUACUUAUUCAUUCCUUCCUUUUUUCUUUCUCACACAUAUCUCUUUCCUUUUUUCCACAUAUAUUUUAUAUAUAUGUCUCACAUUUUUUUCUCUCAUUUUUGUGAUCACUUACCUUUCUAUAUUUCUUGUGCACAGGAUUGUAUAAUACACUAGCAGGGUAAUCCCUAAAAAAAAAAAAAAAAGGGUGAAUUGGCAAUUUGCCUUUCAUAAAUACCAUAGGUAUACUUUAUAACUAUACCAUUUAAAAUGUAUACUAAGUCAAAUAGAUGUAUAAGCUUAAAAACAACACUGUAAUUGAUAUUAUGUAUAAAUCUCAGUAUGUGUGAAACUUACUAGUUUAUGAUUUCAAAGUAUAUAAAAAGAAUUUUUUACAUGGGGGAGUUAUGUUUCAAAAUGCAAAUUUCAAUGUACAAAUGAUUUGUUACUAUCAUUUUCUAAACAGUGGAGUGAGACUAAUGAUGUACUAAGAAUUGUUAUGGUUACCAAAAAAAAUAAAAAGUGCUAUAUGAGA
This is a long non-coding RNA of Capra hircus (goat), 1757 nucleotides long. RefSeq lists it as uncharacterized. The transcript has 2 exons. Lineage: Eukaryota; Metazoa; Chordata; Mammalia; Artiodactyla; Bovidae. The record is from RefSeq and is a predicted model, not a curated record.